GGGGAGGUCGCAUAGUCAGGUCGAGUGCACGACGGUGCUAACGUCGCGAGUCCGCAAGGGCUCCGCGGGUUCGAAUCCCGCCCUCCCCG
RNAcentral lists this transfer RNA (89 nucleotides) under Chloroflexota bacterium. RNAcentral's name for it is "tRNA-Ser". It matches the Rfam family "tRNA". From Rfam's summary of the family: Transfer RNA (tRNA) molecules are approximately 80 nucleotides in length. Their secondary structure includes four short double-helical elements and three loops (D, anti-codon, and T loops). The record is from RNAcentral. Lineage: Bacteria; Bacillati; Chloroflexota.